UACAGGGGGGGCAAGCGUUGUUCGGAAUUACUGGGCGUAAAGGGCUCGUAGGCGGCCAACUAAGUCCGACGUGAAAUCCCCAAGCUUAACUUGGGAACUGCGUCGGAUACUGGAUGGCUUGAAUUCGGGAGAGGGAUGCAGAAUUCCAGGUGUAGCGGUGAAAUGCGUAGAUAUCUGGAGGAACACCGGUGGCGAAGGCGGGUCUCUGGGCCGUAACUGACGCUGAGGAGCGAAAGCAUGGGGAGCGAACAGG
RNAcentral lists this ribosomal RNA (253 nucleotides) under uncultured bacterium. RNAcentral describes it as "partial 16S ribosomal RNA". It matches the Rfam family "Bacterial small subunit ribosomal RNA", at positions 524 to 776 of the family's 1533-position model. The record is from RNAcentral.